UGGGGAAUAUUGGGGCAAUGGGGGCGCAAGCCUGACCCAGCAACGCCGCGUGAAGGAAGAAGGCCCUCGGGUUGUAAACUUCUUUUAUCAGGGACGAACACAAUGACGGUACCUGAUGAAUAAGCCACGGCUAACUACGUGCCAGCAGCCGCGGUAAUACGUAGGUGGCAAGCGUUAUCCGGAUUUACUGGGUGUAAAGGGAGCGCAGGCGGACCGGCAAGUUGGAAGUGAAAUCUAUGGGCUCAACCCAUAAAUUGCUUUCAAAACUGCUGGCCUUGAGUAGUGCAGAGGUAGGUGGAAUUCCCGGUGUAGCGGUGGAAUGCAUAGAUAUCGGGAGGAACACCAGUGGCGAAGGCGACCUACUGGGCACCAACUGACGCUGAGGCUCGAAAGCAUGGGUAGCAAACAGGAUUAGAUACCCUGGUAGU
This 428-nucleotide ribosomal RNA is filed under the name uncultured Subdoligranulum sp. RNAcentral's name for it is "bacterial SSU rRNA". It matches the Rfam family "Bacterial small subunit ribosomal RNA", at positions 355 to 794 of the family's 1533-position model. The record is from RNAcentral. Lineage: Bacteria; Bacillati; Bacillota; Clostridia; Eubacteriales; Oscillospiraceae.